AAGCGGGAGAGCUCAAAUUUGAAAGCUGGCACCUCCGGUGUCCGCGUUGUAAUCUCGAGACGUGUUUUCCGUGCGGCUCUAUGGACAAGUCCCUUGGAAUAGGGCAUCGUAGAGGGUGAGAAUCCCGUACUUGCCAUGGAAGAACCGUGCUUUGCGAUACACGCUCUAAGAGUCGAGUUGUUUGGGAUUGCAGCUCAAAAUGGGUGGUAGACUCCAUCUAAAGCUAAAUAUCGGGGAGAGACCGAUAGCGAACAAGUACCGUGAGGGAAAGAUGAAAAGCACUUUGGAAAGAGAGUUAAAAGUACGUGAAAUUGUCGAAAGGGAAGCACUUGAAGUCAGCCAUGCUGCUUGAGACUCAGCCUGGCCUUUGGGCUUGGUGUAUUUCUCGGUGGCAAGCCAGCAUUGGUUUGGGUCGUCGGAGAAGCGCAUAGGGAAUGUAGCGUUUCCGGACGUGUUAUAGCCUUAUGCAGGAUACGACGACCUGGAUCAAGGAACGCAGUGUGCCCUCUGGGCGG
This 515-nucleotide ribosomal RNA is filed under the name Malassezia globosa. Its description in RNAcentral is "eukaryotic LSU rRNA". It matches the Rfam family "Eukaryotic large subunit ribosomal RNA", at positions 97 to 616 of the family's 3401-position model. Lineage: Eukaryota; Fungi; Basidiomycota; Malasseziomycetes; Malasseziales; Malasseziaceae. The record is from RNAcentral.